GACGAACGCUGGCGGCGUGCUUAACACAUGCAAGUCGAACGGUAAGGCCCUUCGGGGUACACGAGUGGCGAACGGGUGAGUAACACGUGGGUGAUCUGCCCUGCACUUCGGGAUAAGCCUGGGAAACUGGGUCUAAUACCGGAUAGGACCCUGGGAUGCAUGUCCUGGGGUGGAAAGCUUUUGCGGUGUGGGAUGGGCCCGCGGCCUAUCAGCUUGUGGGUGGGGUGAUGGACUACCAAGGCGACGACGGGUAGCCGGCCUGAGAGGGUGACCGGCCACACUGGGACUGAGAUACGGCCCAGACUCCUACGGGAGGCAGCAGUGGGGAAUAUUGCACAAUGGGCGCAAGCCUGAUGCAGCGACGCCGCGUGAGGGAUGACGGCCUUCGGGUUGUAAACCUCUUUCAGCACCGACGAAGCGCAAGUGACGGUAGGUGCAGAAGAAGGACCGGCCAACUACGUGCCAGCAGCCGCAGUAA
RNAcentral lists this ribosomal RNA (478 nucleotides) under uncultured bacterium. RNAcentral describes it as "partial 16S ribosomal RNA". It matches the Rfam family "Bacterial small subunit ribosomal RNA", at positions 28 to 523 of the family's 1533-position model. The record is from RNAcentral.